UAACUCUGAGAACAGGCUGGGGGCGCUGCAUGGGGCCCCUUCAGAAAACUGCCCCAGGGACCAGCCCCUUCUCCCUGCCUCCCAAAGGCCCUUGCAGCAACUUCCACCCAGGCCCUAUCAGCAUCCUGUUUUCUGUCUCUAGGAGGUUUGAGUUCUGCAGGAAAUGCAGCUGCUCCACGUGGCUGCCAUGAAUUACAGGCUUCAGCCUCUUGAGAAAUUUGUCACCUAUUUCCCAAGAAUGGAGCAGCUCAGUGACAAGGAGAGGCUGCACUGCAGUGUCACCAUCUCUGCUCACUGCAACAUCUGCCUCCUGGACUAAAGCCCUUCCUCAGCCUCCCAAGGAGCUGGGACUACUGCUGUACACCACCAUGUCCGCUAGUUCUGCUGUUGU
This 391-nucleotide small RNA is filed under the name Pongo abelii (Sumatran orangutan). Its description in RNAcentral is "processed transcript". Lineage: Eukaryota; Metazoa; Chordata; Mammalia; Primates; Hominidae. The record is from RNAcentral.